UCCUGUCCCUCCCUGCAAGAAAGGGUCAAGGCUCCCAGGAAAAGAGGAGAUUUUAUAAAACACAUGCAUGGAGUCCGGCUAGCAGCUGAUGAAGAGAAGACAUUGCAGGUUGGAGAAAAAUACUGUCAAGCACACUGAAGCAAAAAAGGAUCCAAAAGAAAAACAUCUGGCAAAACCAAGCAUUUUGAACAUGUCAACUUAUGGUUGACUGUCCUACUCUCCUACUCUCAAAAUGCAAAUGUUACGUGAAACGAAGAGAGAGACUGUGGAGUAUCAAAAAGAAGCAAAUAAAAAGAUGCAUGUCUCCGGGCAGAAUAUGAGUUUGAGAGAAAUUCUUAAGUAAUUCUGGUUUGCUGUGUACACAGAAAAAAGCCCAGCCCAAAGCACAUCCAAAGCUUUCUGUCCUCUAAUUCCAGCAUGUGGCUACUUCCCAACUCUGCAAAGGAUGUUCGAGCUCAGCCUAACAUUUCCACAUAUUCAGCUCUCUAAGUGACACUUCAUCUUACUACAGAUGAAUGUUACCUUCAGAAGACUUCACUAGAGUAACCUCUAGAAGUGAACAAGCCUGUGCAGCUUUUGUGUCCCCCUUGGAAAAACUGCAUGGACUAGACAGCUGCAGACACAAUACACAGCAUCACCCAUGUACUCAGGGACGUUGGAGCAGCUGUGAUGAGAAUGAUGGAUGUUCCAAAUUUGUUGCCAUUGAACUCCUCCAAUUUUAAAAGGUCACAGAGUGAAGAAAAUGAAAACCCUGUGUUUUGGCAGAGACAAAGUUACCCUGGCAUGGCAAUCAUGCCAACAAAUAGCUUUGUGCUCAUAUCUAACACAAAAUCCUAAAUUUCUAAAAUACCUUUUCAUCAUUUUUAUAAGGCUGUUAUCGCUUUAACUCUUUCAGAGUUUGAUGUAUUAUUAUUGUGCUUUCAUUUUUCUUGUGUUCAAAAUUUGAUCUCAAUGUAUUGGUAUACUUCUAAUCUUUUAUUUCCACAUAUUUUGCAUCUCUCGAGUAUCCAGGUAUCCCAGGCUUUCCCACACAGUCAAUAAAUUCAUUCCUUUUUUACCACUCUUCGUUCUGUAUCAGUUCUGUACCUGUGACCUUAAGAAAGAUAAUUCUAUUAAAAUUUUCCUUUUUUCAACCAUA
Long non-coding RNA from Calidris pugnax (ruff), 1138 nucleotides. RefSeq lists it as uncharacterized. The transcript has 6 exons. NCBI's taxonomy places the organism in Eukaryota, Metazoa, Chordata, Aves, Charadriiformes, Scolopacidae. The record is from RefSeq and is a predicted model, not a curated record.